This 253-nucleotide ribosomal RNA is filed under the name uncultured bacterium. RNAcentral describes it as "partial 16S ribosomal RNA". It matches the Rfam family "Bacterial small subunit ribosomal RNA", at positions 524 to 776 of the family's 1533-position model. The record is from RNAcentral.
UACGAAGGGUGCAAGCGUUGUUCGGAAUUAUUGGGCGUAAAGCGCACGUAGGCGGGUCUUCAAGUCGAGAGUGAAAUCCCUGGGCUCAACCUGGGAACUGCUCUUGAUACUGUCGAUCUUGAAUGCUUGAGGGGAUGGCGGAAUUCCCGGUGUAGAAGUGAAAUUCGUAGAUAUCUGGAGGAACACCGGAGGCGAAGGCGGCCGUCUGGCAAGACAUUGACGCUGAGGUGAGAAAGCGUGGGGAGCAAACAGG